Molecule: ribosomal RNA, 809 nt
Filed under: Palibythus magnificus
Lineage: Eukaryota; Metazoa; Arthropoda; Malacostraca; Decapoda; Synaxidae
Description: partial 16S ribosomal RNA
Rfam family: Archaeal large subunit ribosomal RNA (bases 1-573)
Source: RNAcentral
UACAGUCUAGCCUGCCCGCUGACGGAGAGUUUAAGGGCCGCGGUAUAUUGACCAUGCGAAGGUAGCAUAAUGAUUUCUUCUUUAAUUGAGGACUAGUAUGAAUGGUUGAACAAGAAACUAACUGUCUCUGAUAUAAAUUUUGAAUUUAACAUUUAAGUGAAAAGGCUUAAAUUGACUAGGGGGACGAUAAGACCCAAUAAAUCUUUAUACUUAUACUUUUAGUGUUGGAAAUUAGAUUAUAAUACUUAGGGUUGCCGGGGGCAAUAUUUUGUUGGGGCGACAGGAGUAUAAAAGCAACUGCUUUAAAUGUGGAAAUUAAUGAUAUUUAUUGUGUAGCUUAAGUGAUCCUUCAGCGAGGAUAAUAGAAUAAGUUACUUCAGGGAUAACAGCGUAAUCUCUUUUGAGAGUUCAUAUCGAAAAAGAGGGUUGCGACCUCGAUGUUGAAUUAAAGAUCCUUUGCGGUGCAGAAGUUGUUGAAGGAGGUCUGUUGCACCUUUGAAUCUUUACAUGAUUUCAGACCGGCGUAAGCCAGGUCGGUUUCUAUCUCUUAGUGAAUUAAAAAUUCUCUUAGUUCGAAAGGACUGGAGAGUUGGAAUAAUUUCAUAGGUUUGGAAUAUUACUUUGGCAGAAUGUAUGUAUUAAAUUUAGGAUCUAACUAAAUAAAAUUUAAGAUCUAUAGGUAAUAGGCAUUUGGUAGUGAGAAGAUGACUAUAAAGUUUGUUGGUGAUAUUCGUGGUUAUAGUAAUCAAUUAUUUGUUUGUUAUUAUUUGUGUCUUAGUUGGAGUAGCCUUUGUAACUUUGUUGGAGCG